AGUGAACGCUGGCGGUAGGCCUAACACAUGCAAGUCGAACGGCAGCACAGUAAGAGCUUGCUCUUACGGGUGGCGAGUGGCGGACGGGUGAGGAAUACAUCGGAAUCUACUUUUUCGUGGGGGAUAACGUAGGGAAACUUACGCUAAUACCGCAUACGACCUACGGGUGAAAGCAGGGGAUCUUCGGACCUUGCGCGAAUGAAUAAACCGAUUUCGGAUUAGCUAGUUGGCGGGGUAAAGGCCCACCAAGGCAACGGUCCGUAGCUGGUCUGAGAGGAUGAUCGGCCACACUGGAACGGAGACACGGUCCAGCCUCCUACGGGAGGCAGCAGUGGGGAAUAUUGGACAAUGGGCGCAAGCCUGAUCCAGCCAUACCGCGUGGGUGAAGAAGGCCUUCGGGUUGUAAAGUCCUUUUGUUGGGAAAGAAAAUCAGGAGGUUAAUAAGCCGAUGUUCUGACGGUACCCAAAGAAUAAGCAACGGCUAACUACGUG
RNAcentral lists this ribosomal RNA (492 nucleotides) under uncultured bacterium. RNAcentral describes it as "partial 16S ribosomal RNA". It matches the Rfam family "Bacterial small subunit ribosomal RNA", at positions 29 to 507 of the family's 1533-position model. The record is from RNAcentral.